AAGCUUGUAACUCAGUGGAAAAAGAGUACGUGCUUCCGAAGCAUGGUGUCGUGGGUUCAAAUCCCGCCAAGCUUG
This is a non-coding RNA of Prototheca wickerhamii, 75 nucleotides long. NCBI's taxonomy places the organism in Eukaryota, Viridiplantae, Chlorophyta, Trebouxiophyceae, Chlorellales, Chlorellaceae. The record is from the annotation of a GenBank genome assembly.